RNAcentral lists this ribosomal RNA (497 nucleotides) under uncultured bacterium. RNAcentral describes it as "partial 16S ribosomal RNA". It matches the Rfam family "Bacterial small subunit ribosomal RNA", at positions 28 to 507 of the family's 1533-position model. The record is from RNAcentral.
GAUGAACGCUGGCGGCGUGCCUAAUAUAUGCAAGUCGAGCGAAAAGAUGAGGAGCUUGCUCCUCUGACGUUAGCGGCGGACGGGUGAGUAACACGUGGAUAACCUACCUCUAAGACUGGGAUAAAUUCGGGAAACGGGAGCUAAUACCGGAUAAUAUAUUGAACCGCAUGGUUCAAUAGUGGAAGACGGUUUUGCUGGCACUUAUAGAUGGAUCCGCGCCGGAUUAGCUAGUUGGUAGGGUAACGGCUUACAAAGGCAACGAUGCGUAGCCGACCUGAGAGGGUGGUCGACCACACUAGAGCGGAGACACGGUCCAGACUCCUACGGGAGGCAGCAGUAGGGAAUCUUCCGCGAUGGGCGAAAGCCUGACGGAGCAACGCCGCGUGAGUGAUGAAGGUCUUCGGAUCGUAAAACUCUGUUAUUAGGGGAGAACAAAUGUGUAAGUAACUAUGCACGUCUUGACGGUACCUAAUCAGAAAGCCACGGCUAACUACGUG